This 1433-nucleotide ribosomal RNA is filed under the name Serratia marcescens. Its description in RNAcentral is "16S ribosomal RNA". It matches the Rfam family "Bacterial small subunit ribosomal RNA". Lineage: Bacteria; Pseudomonadati; Pseudomonadota; Gammaproteobacteria; Enterobacterales; Yersiniaceae. The record is from RNAcentral.
CUGGCGGCAGGCUUACACAUGCAAGUCGAGCGGUAGCACAGGGGAGCUUGCUCCCUGGGUGACGAGCGGCGGACGGGUGAGUAAUGUCUGGGAAACUGCCUGAUGGAGGGGGAUAACUACUGGAAACGGUAGCUAAUACCGCAUAACGUCGCAAGACCAAAGAGGGGGACCUUCGGGCCUCUUGCCAUCAGAUGUGCCCAGAUGGGAUUAGCUAGUAGGUGGGGUAAUGGCUCACCUAGGCGACGAUCCCUAGCUGGUCUGAGAGGAUGACCAGCCACACUGGAACUGAGACACGGUCCAGACUCCUACGGGAGGCAGCAGUGGGGAAUAUUGCACAAUGGGCGCAAGCCUGAUGCAGCCAUGCCGCGUGUGUGAAGAAGGCCUUCGGGUUGUAAAGCACUUUCAGCGAGGAGGAAGGUGGUGAGCUUAAUACGCUCAUCAAUUGACGUUACUCGCAGAAGAAGCACCGGCUAACUCCGUGCCAGCAGCCGCGGUAAUACGGAGGGUACAAGCGUUAAUCGGAAUUACUGGGCGUAAAGCGCACGCAGGCGGUUUGUUAAGUCAGAUGUGAAAUCCCCGGGCUCAACCUGGGAACUGCAUUUGAAACUGGCAAGCUAGAGUCUCGUAGAGGGGGGUAGAAUUCCAGGUGUAGCGGUGAAAUGCGUAGAGAUCUGGAGGAAUACCGGUGGCGAAGGCGGCCCCCUGGACGAAGACUGACGCUCAGGUGCGAAAGCGUGGGGAGCAAACAGGAUUAGAUACCCUGGUAGUCCACGCUGUAAACGAUGUCGAUUUGGAGGUUGUGCCCUUGAGGCGUGGCUUCCGGAGCUAACGCGUUAAAUCGACCGCCUGGGGAGUACGGCCGCAAGGUUAAAACUCAAAUGAAUUGACGGGGGCCCGCACAAGCGGUGGAGCAUGUGGUUUAAUUCGAUGCAACGCGAAGAACCUUACCUACUCUUGACAUCCAGAGAACUUUCCAGAGAUGGAUUGGUGCCUUCGGGAACUCUGAGACAGGUGCUGCAUGGCUGUCGUCAGCUCGUGUUGUGAAAUGUUGGGUUAAGUCCCGCAACGAGCGCAACCCUUAUCCUUUGUUGCCAGCGGUUCGGCCGGGAACUCAAAGGAGACUGCCAGUGAUAAACUGGAGGAAGGUGGGGAUGACGUCAAGUCAUCAUGGCCCUUACGAGUAGGGCUACACACGUGCUACAAUGGCGUAUACAAAGAGAAGCGACCUCGCGAGAGCAAGCGGACCUCAUAAAGUACGUCGUAGUCCGGAUUGGAGUCUGCAACUCGACUCCAUGAAGUCGGAAUCGCUAGUAAUCGUAGAUCAGAAUGCUACGGUGAAUACGUUCCCGGGCCUUGUACACACCGCCCGUCACACCAUGGGAGUGGGUUGCAAAAGAAGUAGGUAGCUUAACCUUCGGGAGGGCGCUUACCAC